RNAcentral lists this ribosomal RNA (422 nucleotides) under uncultured Saccharicrinis sp. RNAcentral describes it as "bacterial SSU rRNA". It matches the Rfam family "Bacterial small subunit ribosomal RNA", at positions 353 to 772 of the family's 1533-position model. The record is from RNAcentral. Lineage: Bacteria; Pseudomonadati; Bacteroidota; Bacteroidia; Marinilabiliales; Marinilabiliaceae.
AGUGAGGAAUAUUGGUCAAUGGACGCAAGUCUGAACCAGCCAUGUCGCGUGAAGGAAGACGGUUCUAUGGAUUGUAAACUUCUUUUAUAUGGGAAUAAUGGUCUUUACGUGUAAAGAUUUGAAGGUACUAUAUGAAUAAGCACCGGCUAACUCCGUGCCAGCAGCCGCGGUAAUACGGAGGGUGCGAGCGUUAUCCGGAUUUAUUGGGUUUAAAGGGUGCGUAGGCGGACUAUUAAGUCAGUGGUGAAAUCUUGCAGCUUAACUGUAAAACUGCCAUUGAUACUGAUAGUCUUGAAUUUAGUUGAGGUAGGCGGAAUGUGUUGUGUAGCGGUGAAAUGCAUAGAUAUAACACAGAACACCGAUUGCGAAGGCAGCUUACUAAGCUAUAAUUGACGCUGAUGCACGAAAGCGUGGGUAGCGAA